RNAcentral lists this ribosomal RNA (117 nucleotides) under Anabaena sp. FACHB-709. Its description in RNAcentral is "partial 23S ribosomal RNA". The record is from RNAcentral. Lineage: Bacteria; Bacillati; Cyanobacteriota; Cyanophyceae; Nostocales; Nostocaceae. RNAcentral also lists the same sequence under 1 other name.
UAUUGAAACUGUAGCGACUGUCUUGAAAGUCAAGCGAUCGUUAACAAAAACCGGGACUCUGAACAUUGACGCAACUGGGGAACGCUGCGCUAGAUUCUGCGGUGGCUGGUACGGGCA